Molecule: ribosomal RNA, 434 nt
Filed under: uncultured bacterium
Lineage: Bacteria
Description: partial 16S ribosomal RNA
Rfam family: Bacterial small subunit ribosomal RNA
Source: RNAcentral
AGCGAACGCUGGCGGCAGGCCUAACACAUGCAAGUCGAACGAACCUUUCGGGGUUAGUGGCGGACGGGUGAGUAACACGAGGGAACGUGCCUUUAGGUUCGGAAUAACUCAGGGAAACUUGUGCUAAUACCGAAUGUGCCCUUCGGGGGAAAGAUUUAUCGCCUUUAGAGCGGCCCGCGUCUGAUUAGCUAGUUGGUUGAGGUAAUGGCUCACCAAGGCGACGAUCAGUAGCUGGUCUGAGAGGAUGAUCAGCCACAUUGGGACUGAGACACGGCCCAAACUCCUACGGGAGGCAGCAGUGGGGAAUCUUGCGCAAUGGGCGAAAGCCUGACGCAGCCAUGCCGCGUGAAUGAUGAAGGUCUUAGGAUUGUAAAAUUCUUUCACCGGGGACGAUAAUGACGGUACCCGGAGAAGAAGCCCCGGCUAACUUCGUG